This 1097-nucleotide long non-coding RNA is filed under the name Vulpes vulpes (red fox). RNAcentral's name for it is "lncRNA (ENSVVUG00000018414.1)". Lineage: Eukaryota; Metazoa; Chordata; Mammalia; Carnivora; Canidae. The record is from RNAcentral.
AUUUCAUCAAGUCAGUGACCAACAGAAGAAGGUGAAAGUCUUUGACAAUGGACCAACGCACUACUAUAAUUCUAGAAAUAGCCUUUCCUGACCCCUCCAGGAAAUCAGCGCAUACCAUGAAGUAUGAAAUGCACACAUGCAGAACUGUGAAUGUUAUUAAUGAUCAUAAAACCACCCCACUCCUUUGAAAAUCUAAGCCUUAUUUCCGACACAAUUACCCCUACGGCAGACUGGUUAUUCAUGGUGGAAAGAUGUAUUUCCUUCCCUUUGUUAAACUUUACCAGUUAUUAACUUUACUGAAUGAGAAGCUUCUUGUAUUAUGGACAAGUUGAAGCUUUUCCAGGAAGGGAGAGCUGCACAUGGAAAUCCUCCAGCCCGGGUCUGGAGGUAUCCGGCAACAGCCUCUGCUAAGUUAGAGGAAUUCUCUCUGUCAGGUCCACUGAUGCCCAUCUAGGAGUAGAAGUUGGUAUCUUGGCCAGGCAGGAUCUGAAAAUUGUAUGUUCUUGGGCACUAGAGUGAGGUAACUCGACCCUCACCCCCACUCAGCAUCUAUUUGCAGGUGCUGAGUAAUACAAUGGAGGAAAUGGCUUGGUAAGCUCUGGAACCUGUAGGGUAAGCUGUGCACACACAUGUUGUCUGACAGACUGGCUGUCUGGGCAUUCUGGAAUCCCCUUAUUCUUUCACCACUCGUUUCAAUAGGAACAGCCAAUCAGGGCAUCUUCCCAAAUACUGAAACUAGAACUGAGGAAGAUCAGCUUCUCUCUCGAGUUCCUGGACAAGUAAACUCAAGAGGGACCUCUAUACAGCUUUGACACCCUGAAGUCUGGGAUAUUGGCGGUGGUGUUGAUGGUGGUGGCAGCAACACAUGGCAGAGAUGGCAGCGUGUUCAAGAGCAGCUGCAAUCAUGCAUGCAAAGUACAGCAGUGCCCAGCAGAUGCAAUGCCAGUUUCUAAUUAAUGCAAUGGCGUGAAGGAGUCCCACAGAAUCUACAGUGAUGUCUGGCAAAGCCAGCACGCCUGGGGUUUGGCAAGUCCAGUGGUAUAAGAAGUAAAGAAACUAGAAUAGGAACAAAGGAAUAAACUGUGGCUAACUGGACA